GGAUAUGGAUGAAGAUCAAAUAACGGAAGACAGAUGUAACUAGCAACAACGAAAGUGGAUGAUAUAUGGAGGUUGGUGGUGGAUGGAGAUCUCUCGGGAAGGGGAUACUAACUCAGGCGGCUUCCAUUCUUGGAAGAAGUUAGGUGAUGAGAGGCAAAGAUCAGAUAGGAGUGACUUUGGCAAGAGUUUCCCGUGCUGGAAAAAUACAUCAGUAGAAGAAGUU
Molecule: long non-coding RNA, 223 nt
Filed under: Vigna radiata
Lineage: Eukaryota; Viridiplantae; Streptophyta; Magnoliopsida; Fabales; Fabaceae
Description: long non-coding RNA (VRAD_LNC004903)
Source: RNAcentral